CUCAAUGAAAUUUCAAUAGCCGCAAUAUAAUUGUGCUAAGGUAGCAUAAUCAUUUGUCUUUUAAUUAAAGACUAGAACAAAAGAUUCAAUAUUUUCAUUACUCUCUUAUUAAUAUAUGUUUAAUUUAUCUUAAAUAUAAAAAGAUAUUUAUAAUAUAAAAAGACGACAAGACCCUAUUGAACUUUACUAAAGUUUAACUGGGGUAGUUAAUCAAAUAAAAUUUUAAUUUAUAUUUCGACAAAUCACCUAAUAUUAUUAAUUUACAUCAAGUUACCAUAGGGAUAACAGCGUAAUAAUUUUCUAUAGAUCUCAUUCAAAAAAUAAUUUACGACCUCGAUGUUGAAUUAAUAAUCUAUUAAAUGCAAUAAUUAAUAAGAAAGUC
RNAcentral lists this ribosomal RNA (382 nucleotides) under Pireneitega burqinensis. RNAcentral's name for it is "partial 16S ribosomal RNA". The record is from RNAcentral. Lineage: Eukaryota; Metazoa; Arthropoda; Arachnida; Araneae; Agelenidae.